AUACGGAGGGUGCAAGCGUUGUUCGGAAUCACUGGGCGUAAAGGGCGCGCAGGCGGUUUGGUAAGUCAGAUGUGAAAGCCCACGGCUCAACCGUGGAAGUGCAUUUGAAACUGUCAGACUUGAGUACUAGAGGGGAAAGUGGAAUUCCCGGUGUAGAGGUGAAAUUCGUAGAUAUCGGGAGGAAUACCGGUGGCGAAGGCGACUUUCUGGCUAGAUACUGACGCUGAGGCGCGAAAGCGUGGGGAGCAAACAGGAUUAGAUACCCAGGUAGUCC
RNAcentral lists this ribosomal RNA (274 nucleotides) under uncultured bacterium. RNAcentral's name for it is "partial 16S ribosomal RNA". It matches the Rfam family "Bacterial small subunit ribosomal RNA", at positions 523 to 796 of the family's 1533-position model. The record is from RNAcentral.